AAGGAAGUCAUAUUUUCCUAUAUUAUGCUACAUGACAUUGUCAAAGAAAAAGAAGGAAAAGAUACAAUAAAGAAAAGAAGGCAGAGGAGUAGGAAGAACGAUGAGCAGGAGAAAAUGAAGUUAUGAGCAAGCAAGAAUUAAAAUGCUUUCUUCUCAGCGGCGGACUUGGCCCAAUGGUUGGGGCAACCGUCUACCACAUGGGAAAUCCGCAGUUCAAACCCCAGGCCUUCUUGACCCAUGUGGAGCUCGCCCAUGCGCAGUGCUGCUGUGCGCAAGGAGUGCCGAGCCAACGCAGGGGAGCCCCACGGGCAGGGAGUACGCCCUGUAGGGAGAGCCGCCCAGCGUGAAGGAAGGUGCAGCCUGCCCAGAAAUGGCACCGCACACACAGAGAACUGAUACAACAAGAUGACAUAAUAAGAAGAAACACAGAUUCCCAUGCCACUGACAAUAACAGAAGUGGACAAAGAAGAUGCAGCAAAUAGACACAGAGAACAG
RNAcentral lists this long non-coding RNA (495 nucleotides) under Dasypus novemcinctus (nine-banded armadillo). RNAcentral describes it as "lncRNA (ENSDNOG00000052810.1)". Lineage: Eukaryota; Metazoa; Chordata; Mammalia; Cingulata; Dasypodidae. The record is from RNAcentral.